Molecule: ribosomal RNA, 1103 nt
Filed under: Umbelopsis ramanniana
Lineage: Eukaryota; Fungi; Mucoromycota; Umbelopsidomycetes; Umbelopsidales; Umbelopsidaceae
Description: SSU rRNA
Rfam family: Eukaryotic small subunit ribosomal RNA
Source: RNAcentral
GUAUAAACAAAUUUAUACAGUGAAACUGCGAAUGGCUCAUUAAAUCAGUUAUAAUUUAUUUGAUAUUCACUUACUACUUGGAUAACCGUGGUAAUUCUAGAGCUAAUACAUGCGUACAUAACCUCGACUUCUGGAAGAGGUGCACUUAUUAGAUAAAAAGCCAACGCGGGCAACCGCUUGUAUGGUGAUUCAUAAUAAUUAAUCGAAUCGCAUGGCCUUGUGCCGGCGAUGAUGCAUUCAAAUUUCUGCCCUAUCAAGUUUCGAUGGUAGGUUAGUGGCCUACCAUGCUUUUAACGGGUAACGGGGAAUUAGGGUUCGAUUCCGGAGAGGGAGCCUGAGAAACGGCUACCACAUCCAAGGAAGGCAGCAGGCGCGCAAAUUACCCAAUCCCGACACGGGGAGGUAGUGACAAUAAAUAACAAUACAGGGCCUUUACGGGUCUUGUAAUUGGAAUGAGUACAAUUUAAAUCCCUUAACGAGGAACAAUUGGAGGGCAAGUCUGGUGCCAGCAGCCGCGGUAAUUCCAGCUCCAAUAGCGUAUAUUAAAGUUGUUGCAGUUAAAAAGCUCGUAGUUGAAUUUUGGCCUUCGCCUGUGGGGUUCGGUCUUCAUUGAUCGGUACCUCAACGGGCGGGGCUCCACCUUCUGGGUUAGCCAGUCGUCAUUUCGGUGGCGGCUGGUGAACCAGAACUUUUACUUUGAAAAAAUUGGAGUGUUUAAAGCAGGCUUUCAAGCUUGAACAUAUUAGCAUGGAAUAAUGAAAUAGGACUUUGGCCUUAUUUCGUUGGUUUCUAAAGCCAAAGUAAUGAUGAAUAGGGAUAGUUGGGGACAUUAGUAUUCAAUUGUCAGAGGUGAAAUUCUUGGAUUUAUUGAAGACUAACUUCUGCGAAAGCAUUUGUCAAGGAUGUUUUCAUUAAUCAAGAACGAAAGUUAGGGGAUCGAAGACGAUCAGAUACCGUCGUAGUCUUAACCAUAAACUAUGCCGACUAAGGAUCGGAUGGUGUUAUAUUUUAUAUUGACCCAUUCGGCAUUUCAGCGAAAGCCAAGUUUUUGGGUUCCGGGGGGAGUAUGGUCGCAAGGCUGAAACUUAAAGGAAUGACGGAAG